This 85-nucleotide transfer RNA is filed under the name Felis catus (domestic cat). It matches the Rfam family "tRNA". From Rfam's summary of the family: Transfer RNA (tRNA) molecules are approximately 80 nucleotides in length. Their secondary structure includes four short double-helical elements and three loops (D, anti-codon, and T loops). The record is from Rfam by way of RNAcentral. Lineage: Eukaryota; Metazoa; Chordata; Mammalia; Carnivora; Felidae.
GCCUGGGUGGCUCAGUCGGUUGAGCCUCUGACUUCGGCUCAGGUCAUGAUCUCGUGGUCCGUGGGUUCGAGCCCCGCGUCGGGCU